GAUGAAGAACGCAGCGAAAUGCGAUAAGUAAUGUGAAUUGCAGAAUUCAGUGAAUCAUCGAAUCUUUGAACGCACAUUGCGCCCCUUGGUAUUCCGGGGGGCAUGCCUGUUCGAGCGUCAUUUCAACCCUCAAGCUCUGCUUGGUAUUGGGCACCGUCCUUUGCGGGCGCGCCUCAAAGACCUCGGCGGUGGCGUCUUGCCUCAAGCGUAGUAGAAUACACCUCGCUUCGGAGCGUAAGGCGUCGCCCGCCGGACGAACCUUCUGAACUUUUCUCAAGGUUGACCUCGGAUCAGAUAGGGAUACCCGCUGAACUUAAGCAUAUCAAUAAGCGGAGGA
This 337-nucleotide unclassified non-coding RNA is filed under the name soil metagenome. Its description in RNAcentral is "partial contains 5.8S ribosomal RNA, internal transcribed spacer 2, and large subunit ribosomal RNA". The stretch from base 1 to 120 matches the Rfam family "5.8S ribosomal RNA", at positions 35 to 154 of the family's 154-position model. The record is from RNAcentral.